UAGCAACAGAAAAGGGGGCUGUACUAUCUUAACCCUAUAAAACUGUUGUCUGAAUAUGGUAAAGACAGUUCAAUACUGAUUGGGUUGUUGAACUCACACAUGUGUUCAUUAAAAUGCCGUCUAAUUGCACACUGGACCGGAUCUGUGGUUAUUUAUGGAUUCCUUCUCUCAACAUUGAACCCUAACAUUUGGGGGCUUCGUCCGGUGAGAGAGAUGGAGGAACUUUGAGAGAUCCGGGGUCCGUGGUAAUUGGACGGGCAGACGGUAAUCAGUGGUGAAAGUGAGCAGGCAUUCCCCGGGGCAUUUAAAGAACCAGUGUGUCCCCUAGGCCUGAUAACACCCUUGCCCAGUUGGCCCCUGUAGUAGGCGGGCAUGGAAGGCUGGACAGCCCAUGACGGGUAAGAUCCCACCUCGAAACCCUGGGACAACCUAAGGCAAGGCGCAGUCACGAUUGCUUGAACCUAAGUCCCGGAGUGACCUUGGAGUCACUGGAGGAGACGGGAUUUAACAGGUAAGGCCACUGGGCACAGACGAAGGGGAAAUGUCAUUCACAAUGACCAGUGAUGAGCCAAAGAGAGAAAACACACCCUGUCAAAAGGAGUUUGGAACACUGGAAAAGAAACAUUUACAAGAUCACAAAGAUCAUAAAGAAACAUUUAUAAGAAUCACACAUACAAACAGAAAAUGCACUAACCUUACACAGACAAGCUCAUGAAGAUUAAUGAACAGAUAAUGAUUUAAAACCUGGCUAAGAACACAAACAUACGUAAUUAAAUCAGCCUGCUAAUUUCAUGAGGGUUAAAAUGGUGUGAAUGUUGAAGAAAAUACACUUAAAACACACUUGGAUAAAAUAGAGUUGUGGAAUAACUCAAACGAAGCUGUAUGACAAGGGAGUGAG
Oreochromis aureus is the source of this 898-nucleotide long non-coding RNA. The record is from Ensembl. Lineage: Eukaryota; Metazoa; Chordata; Actinopteri; Cichliformes; Cichlidae.